CAAAAGGCACUGGCACUCCAAAAAGCAGACAGAUGGGGCUGCUUGCUGCUCACCUGUUUGGCAUCGGCGCUGCACAGGUCUCAGCUGGAUGAUGGCCACCCAGGGCCUGGUGUGCGUGGCAUUGGUGGCCGUGCUGUGCGAUGGAGCAGAGAGGAGGGGCCUGCCUGGCGUUUUGGCUGUGCCUUCCGUGACAGCAGCACACUGUGCAGAGGAGACUUGAGAUGGGACAAGAAGCACGUGGACAGCCAGCUGGAACCUCUGUGAGCAGCAG
Molecule: long non-coding RNA, 271 nt
Filed under: Gallus gallus (chicken)
Lineage: Eukaryota; Metazoa; Chordata; Aves; Galliformes; Phasianidae
Source: RNAcentral